RNAcentral lists this ribosomal RNA (545 nucleotides) under uncultured bacterium. Its description in RNAcentral is "bacterial SSU rRNA". It matches the Rfam family "Bacterial small subunit ribosomal RNA", at positions 777 to 1319 of the family's 1533-position model. The record is from RNAcentral.
AAUAGAUACCCAGGUAGUCCACGCCGUAAACCGAUGGGUACUAGGUGUGGGAGGUGUCGACUCCGUCCCGUGCCGUCGCUAACGCACGUAAGUACCCCGCCUGGGGAGUACGGCCGCAAGGCUAAAACUCAAAGGGAAUUGACGGGGGCCCGCACAAGCAGCGGAGCAUGUGGUUUAAUUCGACGCAACGCGAAGGACCUUACCUGGGCUUGACAUGUUGGUGACCGCCGUGGAAACACGGUUUUCCUUCGGGACACCAUCACAGGUGGUGCAUGGCUGUCGUCAGCUCGUGUCGUGAGAUGUUGGGUUAAGUCCCGCAACGAGCGCAACCCCCGUCCUAUGUUGCCAUCAUUUAGUUGGGGACUCAUAGGAGACUGCCGGUGACAAACCGGAGGAAGGUGGGGAUGACGUCAAGUCAUCAUGCCCCUUAUGUCCAGGGCUACACACGUGCUACAUUGGCGCAUACAAAGGGCAGCAAUACCGCGAGGUGGAGCAAAUCCCAUAAAGUGCGCCUCGGUUCGGAUUGGAGGCUGAAACUCGCCUCC